UACGGAGGGUGCGAGCGUUGUCCGGAAUCACUGGGCGUAAAGGGCGCGUAGGUGGCCCCUCAAGCGUGCGGUGAAAGUCAGGGGCUCAACCCCUGAUCGGCCGUGCGAACUGGGGAGCUUGAGCACUGUAGAGGCAGGCGGAAUUCCGGGUGUAGCGGUGGAAUGCGUAGAGAUCCGGAAGAACACCGGUGGCGAAGGCGGGUCUCUGGGCCGUUACUGACGCUGAGGAGCGAAAGCGUGGGGAGCGAACAGG
RNAcentral lists this ribosomal RNA (253 nucleotides) under uncultured bacterium. RNAcentral's name for it is "partial 16S ribosomal RNA". It matches the Rfam family "Bacterial small subunit ribosomal RNA", at positions 524 to 776 of the family's 1533-position model. The record is from RNAcentral.